Molecule: ribosomal RNA, 254 nt
Filed under: uncultured bacterium
Lineage: Bacteria
Description: partial 16S ribosomal RNA
Rfam family: Bacterial small subunit ribosomal RNA
Source: RNAcentral
UACGGAGGGUGCAAGCGUUAUCCGGAUUCACUGGGUUUAAAGGGUGCGUAGGUGGGAUGGUAAGUUACUGGUGGGAAAUCGAGGCUCAACCUCGUGGAAGUCAGUAAUACUAUCGAGCUUGAGUGCAGGAGAGGUUAAUGGAAUUUUAUGUGGAGCGGUAAAAUGCGUAGAUAUAUAAAAGAACAUCAAUUGGCGAAGGCAGUUAACUAUUCUGCUACUGACAUUGAGGCAUGAAAGCGUGGGGAGCAAAACGG